This 187-nucleotide small RNA is filed under the name Arabidopsis thaliana (thale cress). RNAcentral describes it as "ATSL156270". The record is from RNAcentral. Lineage: Eukaryota; Viridiplantae; Streptophyta; Magnoliopsida; Brassicales; Brassicaceae.
AAUAAUUGGAUUGAGGAGAAGACAAGAACCGGGAAGAAGGUGAAGGAAGGAGUGUGUUGUAUUUUCACACCUCAUAUGUGCUCCUCAAUGAAUUAUGCAUAUUAUAGUGUUAGAUAUUUAAUAACUUUAUGUAGAUUGGCUAUUCACCAAAUUCACCCUUUAAAAAACAAAUCAUUCUAUGUUGGUU